GCCGCACUGCGCGGCGAUACCGCCGAGGUCCCCGCCCUGCUGUGCGCAUGCACCGCAGAUCAGCCUCCAUAGGCGCGGCGGCGCCGCGGAGCAUCCUGGGAUAUGUAGUGCGCGGCAGCGCUCGGCGGGAGUUGUAGUCCCCGCCUAAGGGGGAGGUGGGCCGCAGGCAGGCGGGGUGCCGGGCGUGUGAUUAGAUAAACACGGUGGUCUCCUACUCAGAAAAAAAAAACAACAGUACAGUCAGAAAGAGGAAGGAUAUGCACAAUAAUUAUGCACAAUAAAUAUGCACAAUAAUUAUGACAACAUAGAAUGUGACAUGCUGCUUGUGCCUCGUGCCAGCAGCACCAUUUGAGCAGAGCCCCACACUGCCCACUUUCAUUGCAGGGGAGUUGGACCCGGUGACCUUUAAAAGUCCCUUCCAACUCCAACGAUUCUAUGAUUGCUGCCACGUGACAGAGUUUUCAGCAGUGGUUAUGAAACGUGAGCAGUGAUGCUGCAGCCAUUUUGUCCCUGGGGAACUGAGGCAGGCAGUGUAUAAGUCACUGUGGUAUGGAAUGCAGUGGUGAUGGCACAACCUGUCUCACAGAGAGCUGUGCUACUGGCUGCAGUCUGCCUUGGAAAGAAUUCAUUGUUUGGGCGCGUGAAGAUUCCUCUGCUGCACUUCUCCUCUUGGUUCAGUGCUGACAGAAUGAUCGCAAGUGUGGCAGAUCCCCACAGGACUCCAGGUUGUGGCCUGACAUUACACUGGGCAUGGAAGAGCCCUUUGCCAAUAUGAAAUGCUAUUUCUAUAACCAAAACCUGAGCAGUCAAAACCAUUUCAUAGAUACAUGCAGAAGCUUUGCCAAGCUCUGUUCCUGUUUUUCUGAGUGGAGUAUUAUUUUCUGGAACCCCCGUCUUCAUCCUUUCUCUUGGAAGGAGAUUUACCAGGAAACAGCAGAUCUUCCACUCUUGCUAAAACCAGCUCCACUGGUUGUAGGAGUAGCUUUGAUGGGUUGUGUAAGAAAAGGAUUGCUGGGUCAUCUCCAGCUCACCAAGCUGAUGGUGGUGCUGGCAUCUGCUUUCCAUGCAGUCUGUCAUCGCAGAGGUGACAAAUGUUGACAGCUGUUUGCCGUCGGGCUCAUCUCCAUACCAUGCUCAUCUCCAGUGAGAAGUUCUCUGAGUCAGCCAGGUGGCUUUGCGUUUUGGAGGCAGAGUGUAUAUUUCCAUGGUAAUUUGGCUGGAUUUUUGUUCCCCCUGCUAUCUGGAAUGGCAGCAUUUCCAAAAGGUACAUUGGGCACUCUGGAUUUUAUUAUUGUUAUUCUGUACGUUGUUGGGCUAUGAAAUUCUUCAGUCCUUUUUGCUUUCGGACUGCUUGCAAUUCUGAUAUUAAUAAUGAAAAUGUGGCUGGUUCUGUCAGACCUACUCUGUCCCAGGGAGAAGAUAACAGGAGUGAUUUAAUUCUUUGAAUUAUUUGGUAGGCUCAUUGCACUCUUAGAAACGUCUGAAAGCAACUGUAACGGCAUGGGCCAUGUGCACGACCUCAGUACAAUGAAAAUACAUCCUCAGAUGUUAAAUAAUGCGUGAGGAACAACUGCACGCUGGGAUGAAUUAAGGUUAGAAGGGAGCAAGACAGGAUGAUGCUGGGAAAAAAAGAUAAAUAUUUGAUGGCAGGGAAGAUGCACAUCUCUCAUUUUAAUAGAGGUUAGUUAAGGUUUUGUUUAAAGAAACUAAGUGUGGUGCUGGUAGCUUCUGGGGAACCCCAGAGUGCCGGCUCCUGCCCAGGGGAAAGCCGGGCACCAGCCGCCCCCGAGCUGCUGGAAUUGAGAGCCUCAGCACUGUAGAACUGCCCGCUUACUGAGAAAUCAAGGCUGUGAUAGGGAGCCAAUUUAUUCCACAAAAUGAAAGAGCUGAGAUAAGGAAGAACAAAGGACAAAAGGAAAGAAAGGCAGAAAAUAAUGAUGGCUAACGAUUAUAUGACUAACCAACACCCCCGCAAUGAUUAAACAUUAAACUCCCACAAGCUAAGUAAACACAAAAAUACCCUCCAAAUUCCCCAAAGGCUUUGUCUUCUUAGCGGCAAGGGCUGAACUUGAGAGAAGAGCAUAGCACGUGGUGCCUAUGGCUCCCAUACAACCCCUGUAGGCGCUCAUCAGAGUCCCCCUUUCACGGCUGGUUUCUAGCCCAAAAAAGCAACAUGGUGGUAUUUUUCUCCCUGAAGGAGUAAUUUGGGGUCACGCAUCCUUAGCAUUGGAGGUUUCAAGGCAGCGGCUUCCCAUGCAGCGCCAGCAUUGCAGCACGCACGGGCACGCCAGGGCAAGUAGUGCUCAAGCAUGUCCUCCUUGCCAGGCUCCUUGCUUACAGAAAACUUCACCUUCCCACCUCCCCUUUGGUGUGCAGCCAUGUUUGUGUUGCAGGCUGGAAGCGGGGGCAGCAGGAGGUGCUGAAUGGUGAUUCAGAGCUGCUCUGAGGUGGUUUUUCCUGUGGAUGGCAAUGAGUCGCCGCAAGGAAGAGGGGAUGAGUUGUUGGCAGAGGGGCUGGGUCCGGGGGAACACCUCCUGGAAGUGCUGCAACACCAUUCCCAGUCACCUUUAGGCACAUGGAAGAGGUACACAGGGAUGCCUGGCUGCUGUGUGUUGGCAAAUACACCAGCUUGGUUAAAGUUGCGCCAAAAAUCCAGGUGGGCAGAAGGUCAGAUGUGCCAAAGUGAUUUCCGCUUGCAAAGUCUGAAAAUAGUUCACUCCUAAAGCUCACCUCCAUCACUUAGAACAAAACAGAAUCAAACUGUUACAUGUAAUAUAAUAAAUGUUCAUUUCUUUCAAUGCUGCAAGAAAGAGGGCAGACCCACGUGGUACUGAAAGUUUGCCCCACGCAAAAGUGGAGCUGUGCACAGUGGGACUGUUUGUCAGCAGAGCAAAAGUCAUGGCUAGACAGAUGCAAGCAAUUGUGUUAUUGUGGCUAAUAAGUUAAUUCAGCCCCAAGGAAGGCAAGUUUAUACAUAGAUAUGUAGAUAUAUACACAUAUAUAUGGAUACAUGUGUGUAUAUGUGUGUGGGUAGGUAUAUAUGUAUGUGUAUGUAUGUGUGUAUAUCUAUUUUCUUAUGUUUCCAGUAGGCUGUGGCCUGCUUGCAGCUAGGAAAUAUGGCUCAGUGAGUGAGGAGUGGUGUAGAAAGCUCAACUGGUUGGACAAAUGUCUGUGCAAAUGACAACAGCGUGCUAAAGACUGUUUUAAGGCAUAGAAAUGUGGGGAACCAAAGAGGUUGGCUGGCAGGAGAAAAGUAAAUGAGAAUAAGAGGAUAGAGGAGCAAAGAAGAGAAUAGGAAUGAAUGUUAGAGGAGUUUAAAAAAAGGGAAUUACGGAACAGACAUAACAUCAGGGGAGAUUACAGGGAGAAAGCAGACUGAGUUGACCUCUUUCCGAUGGCAGUGGUGAAACAAAAUCCAUUAUUGGUACCUCUAGUGAUUGUGUAGCUCACAGCUUGGCAAAUCCAGCCUGGCACAGCCAAAGGCAGAGAGCCGGGUGCUGCUGCUCUGCUGUUUUGCUUCCUUGGACGGAGGCCGUGACAUUGCUAUUUUCCACUAGACUGCUCAGCUGUCUGUUUACAAACAGAGCAGCGUCUCCCACAUCUGUCUGCAUUCUCCUUGCAGCUACAUCAUGUUCUCUGCAAGUUCCCACACUGCACGCUGCCCUUUACAGGACGGUAACUGAGCUGGUGCCCGUCAAACACCGUCCAGCUUAGCUCACCUAACAAAACAGAAGGGCAAACUCGCACCUGAUGAAAGCUGUCUUAGCUGUGACAUCAUGUUUUGCUAGUUUGAGCAACCAAUUUGAGAAGGUUGAAGAGGAAUAAAGAGAUGACACAGUAGGAUAUUUCUGGAAAUGUCUAGAUUUCUACAAAUACUGAUGAAAUCAUAACCAGAACGAAGUGCAGCUGUGCAGGGAAGAGGCACCUCUUGUUUCACCUCUGUCCUCAGGCCAAAAGGAGCCCAGCCUGGUUGGAGAAGAGAUGUGGCUGCUCAGCAUCACAGCACCCAAAGCAGCCUUAGUUCUUCUUUAACCUUGGGUUAUGAGUAUGAAGAAUCAUAGAACAGCUCAAGUUGGAAAGGACCUAAGAGAUCAUCCAAGCCCUGCGCUGGGCUGGGUGCCCCCCAGCAGGGUGCACAGGGCCCAUCCGUGGCCUUGGGCACCUCCAGACGUGGGGCAUCCACACUUCUCUGGGCAAUCCUGCAUGUGAACUCGGGAGCAUUCUGCCUACAGGAGUUACCUGCUAGAGGACAUCCCCAAAUGUUUUACAUUUCCUAAACUACACCGGUGUUGUAAUUACACAAAUAACCAAACAGAGGUUUUAUUAGGAACUGUUUAGACUUACAUACUCAGCCACCUGUUAUCUGCUAAAAUGUUGGCAGAAAUGAUUGUUUUAAUUCCCUCUUGGAGUUGUGAUUUAGUGCAAGCAUGCUGCCUUUUUGUUCAUGAGCAAAAAAUAAAUCUUAUGCUGAAAUGAGCAUGUGGUAUUUGGCACAGUGUUCUCUUGACCCCAGAAUUACCACAAAACGUGUAUUUUAAUGUUGACAGUAAAUGUGUUUACA
RNAcentral lists this long non-coding RNA (4561 nucleotides) under Meleagris gallopavo (turkey). Its description in RNAcentral is "lncRNA (ENSMGAG00000020840.1)". Lineage: Eukaryota; Metazoa; Chordata; Aves; Galliformes; Phasianidae. The record is from RNAcentral.